This 523-nucleotide long non-coding RNA is filed under the name Hordeum vulgare. Its description in RNAcentral is "long non-coding RNA (HVUL_LNC002749)". Lineage: Eukaryota; Viridiplantae; Streptophyta; Magnoliopsida; Poales; Poaceae. The record is from RNAcentral.
CCUGAGCCUUGUCGCCGUCUUUGGUCCUCGGCCGCAGCACGCGCACCAGCGACGCCGCGGGGGACGCAGCACAAAGUUGAGGAGGCGCCGACGACGCUUUCUUCCUCUUUCUGGCGGCGUAUUUCUCGAGGGCGUCGUCGGCGUAGAGCGCGGAGACCCUCCUCAUCUUCCGGUGCUUCGCGAGGCAGCACUCCCUGGAGAACGGGUUGCGGACGGCCGGCCCACGCUCGUCCUCGCCGCCGCCAAAACCCGUCUCACGGCCGCCAUUUUCCGCAUUGAUCUCCUUGCUCUUCCUGGACGAGCAAUCCGGCGCCGCGCUCUUCCUCUUCAUACCCGGCUUGCCGCUCGUCCUACUCCUCGGCGGCGCGGUGCUGAACUGCUGGAACUUCUUGCAGGCGACGAUGAGGGAGAUGUAGGAGGCGCCGUGGGGCGCCUGGUAGCGGAGCUCCUGGCGGCCGUCGCACUUGGCCUUCUUGUACAAGGUCCAGCCGGAGGAGAGCAGGCUGUCCCUGGCCCUGCGCCG